This is a long non-coding RNA of Penaeus monodon (black tiger shrimp), 597 nucleotides long. RefSeq lists it as uncharacterized. The record is from RefSeq and is a predicted model, not a curated record. NCBI's taxonomy places the organism in Eukaryota, Metazoa, Arthropoda, Malacostraca, Decapoda, Penaeidae. The transcript has 3 exons.
CUGAUUGAAUUCACACUAACAUUAUACCAUUAUUCAAGAGCAGAGGAGGAUUGUGAAACGAGCCCAAAUCAUUGCUCUGCGAGAUGAAGGCCUUUCCAUUCGAGCAAUAGCUAGUCGCAUGGCCAUAUCAGCAACAACUGUCAACAAAUGGAUCAAGCGGCAUCAGGAAACUGGAUUACUUACAAGUUUACAUAGAAGACCGCGUCCCCGCGUAAACCUCACGGGAGGAAGACGAGGCCAUCAUACGAGCGGUCGAAGAAAACCCGUAUACGAACGCCACAAGGUUAAGGAAAACGCUCCAGUUAAAUGUAAGCCCUGAAACUGUCCGUAGACGGUUACACGAAAGUGGAGUGUAUCAGCUGAUCCCUUCCAGGAAGGAACAGGCGAAUCAGCACCACACAGGUAGACAGUGCAUUAUCUGUCGACAUUCCGGAGUGCGGCUGGAAUUCCAUAGCAGUUUCUUAGAUGAAGAAAAUGUUCAGCAUGAAACACGGGAAGAUACACUUGAGAAGAUGUGAACGUGACACAAGGCCGCUGUGGAUAUAUGAUUGAUAAACAAGGUUGAUGGAGUAGCUAGUAAAUAAAAUUUAAUAUAUU